CCUACGGGUGGCAGCAGUGAGGAAUAUUGGUCAAUGGCCGUAAGGCUGAACCAGCCAAGUAGCGUGAGGGAAGACUGCCCUAUGGGUUGUAAACCUCUUUUAUGCGGGGAUUAAGGUGUCUAUGUGUGGAUUUUUGCAGGUACCGCAUGAAUAAGGCCCGGCUAAUUCCGUGCCAGCAGCCGCGGUAAUACGGAAGGUCCGGGCGUUAUCCGGAUUUAUUGGGUUUAAAGGGAGCGUAGGCCGGUCAUUAAGCUUGCCGUGAAAUUUUGUGGCUCAACCAUGAUAGUGCGGUGGGAACUGGAAACCUGGAGUGCGCGGAAGGCAGGCGGAAUUCGUGGUGUAGCGGUAAAAUGCUUAGAGAUCACGAAGAA
Molecule: ribosomal RNA, 371 nt
Filed under: uncultured bacterium
Lineage: Bacteria
Description: partial 16S ribosomal RNA
Rfam family: Bacterial small subunit ribosomal RNA
Source: RNAcentral